This 253-nucleotide ribosomal RNA is filed under the name uncultured bacterium. RNAcentral's name for it is "partial 16S ribosomal RNA". It matches the Rfam family "Bacterial small subunit ribosomal RNA", at positions 524 to 776 of the family's 1533-position model. The record is from RNAcentral.
GACGUAGGGCGCAAGCGUUGUCCGGAUUUAUUGGGCGCAAAGAGCUCGUAGGUGGUUUGUCGCGUUGUCCGUGAAAACUCACAACUCAAUUGUGGGCGUGCGGGCGAUACGGGCAGACUGGAGUACUGCAGGGGAGACUGGAAUUCCUGGUGUAGCGGUGGAAUGCGCAGAUAUCAGGAGGAACACCGGUGGCGAAGGCGGGUCUCUGGGCAGUAACUGACGCUGAGGAGCGAAAGCGUGGGGAGCGAACAGG